Long non-coding RNA from Pocillopora verrucosa, 1696 nucleotides. RefSeq lists it as uncharacterized. The record is from RefSeq and is a predicted model, not a curated record. NCBI's taxonomy places the organism in Eukaryota, Metazoa, Cnidaria, Anthozoa, Scleractinia, Pocilloporidae.
UUUAUUUUGGCUGAAAAAAUCUGCUGGCUAAUACUCUACUUGUCUUAUUUGGAGCCCCACAGUCUGCCAAAACAACGGCACUAAAAGCUACUCUUUCAGUUGUUGGCAAAACAGAUAUUGUACAAGGAAUGACUUUCAAGGCAAUAAUGGAUGCUGUCUGCAAGACACCCAUUCCAUUUGGCUGAGAUUAUUGCAAAUUUUACAGACCGUCCGGUGGAGAUGGCAGAUGAUCAAGAGCUAGUCAAAGAUCAGAGGGCCUUGGUGUCCUACUCCCUCCUGGUUUUUGCAUUCAGAAUGGUGAGUAUACAAAUAUAAACUGGGUAACAAAGAAAGUUGGUUGCAUUGGGAUGGAAGCCAUUGGUUCUACAUCCCGACACUUCAGCUCUGAUAUUUAGUGAUUGGAUUAAUCCAUCUGAAAGAGAGCAAAAUUAAUAAGUGCAUGGAUGGGAAGUUAUGUAAAUAAAAAUAACUGAAAAAUAACAAGUCAGAACAAAAUCUUGCAUUAAUCCCAUUUAAAUCAUGACUGUAAUUUAAUUAUGUCUCACUUAUGAUGCUGUCUCUUCAAUUAAAUGCAGAUUCUUGAGAAGGUAGGGUUGCCAAAGCUCUUCAUCCUUCUAGAGGAAAAAAUUUAAAAAGUUGUACUGCCAAGUUAUGUGGGAGCAUCCCAUGUCACUGCAACAUCUGUUCAGUUGCCAAAGGAAGUUUGCAGUGACACCAACAAAGCGUUGAUGAAUUCCUUUGCAUCAAUUACUGCUUUCAAUGUUCAAAAUGUGGUUCCCUUUGUCAAUAAUAGAAUAAAGCCCUCUCAAUGAAGCUGUGGGGAAGCUGUAGCUUUUAAUGUGCCUUGCUUAGCUCAGCACAUUAAGGUUACUGGUAUCAACCCAGUGUUAACCAAUGCCACUAUAUAGCAUUUCAUUACCUCUAACGUUAUUGGUUGUAUGGGGAAGUCAAAUAAGGUUUGGAGCUGAACAACAAGCUUGACAUCUGCCUACACAACUUUUUCAUCACUGACUACCAGUACCACAUCUAGUACGUAAUAAUGAAUUGAAUUAAUUCAUUUAAGUACAAGUGCUUUACCAUGAAAACAAUCAGAAUGGUGGUUUUCAUGGUAAAGACAUCCUGCUCCAAAGGCCUACUGUUUCAGCCUGCUGGAAUUAUUGAGCCACUCCAUUGUUCAAGGUGGUCCCAGUUUUAGUGCUUUACAUCCAGCAAUCUACUUCUACUUAGCAGAUGCAAACCUUCUGUAUGUACUCUCUCAACUAAGAAGACCAGAUUUCCUCCUCAAUGCAGGUACUUUAGUGUACUUACAGAUUUUGUUACAUUUAUGCUCACAAGAACAUUGGAAUGUACUUAAUUUUGUACACUUUGUAUAGGGAAGAAACAGGUUCAUAGAGAGGGGGUUUAUUCAAAAAAUCAUACUUCCAAACAAGGAGCUUGUUAGAUACAGGGCUUACAGAUGGACUACUAUUUUUAGAGGGGAGGGUUGGGCAAUUACUGUAAAAAAAUUCCUGCACAACCUGACCCCAAGAAAUUAUUUCUAGCUCAGAAAAAAAUUGCCCACCCUCCUAAUGGUCAUUCCCUUAAUGGAGUUUUGACAUAAACAGAAUCAAAGGGUAAGUGAAAUAUUCCUGUCCCAAUCCAUAUGGCAUAUAAAGUGACAAUGGAACAUUUCUGAUAGGUUUUUUGAUUUCUUCUU